Molecule: long non-coding RNA, 445 nt
Filed under: Pan troglodytes (chimpanzee)
Lineage: Eukaryota; Metazoa; Chordata; Mammalia; Primates; Hominidae
Description: lincRNA
Source: RNAcentral
GUCCUUGACUGCAUGGUUUCUGCUGGUCCAAGCAACUUUCUCCUGCCACGCCUAACCUUGGAGAGCAGUGAUCAAUGGAGGAAGUGUUUCAUGGUGGACAUGGGAAACUGGCCAGAUCAACUGCUGUCACCUUCUAAGACCCAGACGGGGAGGAGGAAUGCCAGAGAAGCUGCAGACUCCCCGGACAUGGAGCCUGAGUGGAGCAGAGGUGGCCCACUGUCAGCCACAGGUCAAGUGUCAGGGUGGGGACGGGGCAGGCUCCACCAGAAGGUGGGGCCAGACCACAGGGCAAGGUGGAGAUGAGUCUGUGGCACCCCCAGGAAGUUUACCAGAUUUGCCCCAGAGCUUCUGACCCUUUGGAUCUCUCUGGGCUGCAUUCUUCAGGGUCCCGUUGCUUCUUUCUUGAAGGUGGAAGGAAAUGUUCCCAUCAGAGCCUUCCAACAGG